CCGAAAGACAAAGAAGAAGAAGAAGAAGAAGAGAAAAGCGUGAUGCUGUUUUGGUACAGUGCGUGGACAGCACCUCUCCUGUCCCUCCAUUUUCUUGGUGUCCCCCCUUGGGGGCGUGGUCAUUAUUUGGAACAUAAAACAAA
This is a long non-coding RNA of Thalassophryne amazonica, 143 nucleotides long. RefSeq lists it as uncharacterized. The record is from RefSeq and is a predicted model, not a curated record. NCBI's taxonomy places the organism in Eukaryota, Metazoa, Chordata, Actinopteri, Batrachoidiformes, Batrachoididae. The transcript has 2 exons.